GGACGAGUGGUGGAUCGGACGAGGACGGUGUGUCGGCGUUGUUCUACAGUGGUGCGGGACAGCUGCUGAGAGCAAGGAGCAACACCAGCUGCCUGACCUCACUCGGCUCUGACCUCUGACCCCCCCCCCCGCCCCAUGGAGGGAGAAAGAGGGUCGACCGAUUUAACACCUACACAAGCAUGCCCAAAAUCUGAUAGUUGGAUAUAUGUGACUUCCUUCAUCUGAGCUCAAGCAGAGGUAAGGGAAGCGCCACAUGUUGCCCAGGCCGAUGAUGGAGCCGGCGACCGACAGAAUAAACUCCAUCUUGUUGUCCCACUGGCCCCGCUCCUCCAUCUUUUCCUCCGAUGGGGCCUUCUGGACUUUGGCCAUGGUGCCAUUGGGGAUGCCCGCUUUGGCAGCGUCUCCUACAAACCGGACAAAGAGAAGAGGAUGCAGCAGCUUUAAAGGCACGUCGGGUUGUUUUCAACAGUCAAUAUGCCAUGAAGCAAGGCACUAAGGACAGCAAACAGUUCCAACUGCAGGGUGGGCUACAUUAGAAUAAUGUCGUUUUUAUUGAACAUCGAUAAGAAGGAUGGUAUAAGCAUGCACGUGGAGUCCUUUUCACUUAAAACCUUGUCUAUUAGUAAGCACGAUAUGAUUGGAUAGUGUAGCUUCUAGUUAACCAGCUUUGUAAAUCCCUGUCAAAAGUUUAGACAAUUUCACGAUGUUGUUUUAAAUGCUCACUUUUUCUUAUGGUUUACUAAUAAUGUUUGUAUAUUUCCGUUUAUAUUUUCAAUUCUUUCAGUUUUUAUUGUACUUUUUUUUGUAUUUAUAGUUUUUUUUUCUAUUCUAUACAUUUGUGUAAUUUCUGUUGCCGGAAAAACAUAAUGAUGGUUAAAAAAAAGUAUUAUAUUAAUCUUGCAAAUGUGAUAUUUAACUGAAAACACACACAAAUGUGACACAUUAUGAGCUUUUUUAUAAACAAUUUUCUGUUUUAAAUUGCAA
Gymnodraco acuticeps is the source of this 984-nucleotide long non-coding RNA. RefSeq lists it as uncharacterized. The transcript has 3 exons. The record is from RefSeq and is a predicted model, not a curated record. Lineage: Eukaryota; Metazoa; Chordata; Actinopteri; Perciformes; Bathydraconidae.